This 249-nucleotide ribosomal RNA is filed under the name uncultured bacterium. Its description in RNAcentral is "partial 16S ribosomal RNA". It matches the Rfam family "Bacterial small subunit ribosomal RNA", at positions 29 to 258 of the family's 1533-position model. The record is from RNAcentral.
AACGAACGCUGGCGGCGUGCCUGAGACAUGCAAGUCGUGGGAGAAAGUCGGAGCAAUCCGGCUAGUAAACCGGCGCACGGGUGAGUAACACGUGGACAACCUGCCUUGGAGUUCGGGAUAACCCGUCGAAAGACGGACUAAUACCGGAUAUGACCACGGGGAGUUCGCUCUCUGAGGUAAAAGAUGGCCUCUGCUCCUGCAAGCUAUCUCUUCGAGAGGGGUCCGCGUCCUACAGCUAGUUGGUGAGGU